This is a long non-coding RNA of Panthera uncia (snow leopard), 2380 nucleotides long. RefSeq lists it as uncharacterized. The transcript has 4 exons. NCBI's taxonomy places the organism in Eukaryota, Metazoa, Chordata, Mammalia, Carnivora, Felidae. The record is from RefSeq and is a predicted model, not a curated record.
GGAGAGGAAUCCAUUUGUGGUGUUUCAAAUAAAGAACAUAUGUUCUCUGAGAUCUCUAUUCAAUGCUCGAAUGCCUAUUUAUUUUUCCUAUUUCUCCUAUAAAGAAAUAAGAAUUGUCUGAAGAAACAAAGACUGCUUAUUGCUAACAUACAAGUUUGCAUGACUGUCUAGAUGAAGUUUUCCUCACUAAUUACGAUUCUUUACUCCUAGGUAUAUAUCCAAGGGAAACGAAGACAGGCGUGUGUCCCAAAAGGACUUGUACACAAAUGUUCACGGUGGCAUUAGUCAUAAUAGCCCCAAAGUGGAAACAACCCAAAUGUCUGUCAAUGGAUGAACGGAGAAGCAAACUGUGUUAUAUCUGUACAAUGGGCUAUUAUUUGGCAAUACAAAGGCUUGAAGUAUGACACGUGCGACACUGUGGAUGAACCUUGAAAACAUUGCGCCGAGUGACCAUAUGUUGGAGAAUUACACUUACAUGAAAGGUCCUGAACAAGUGAGUCCAGAGAGAGAGAGAGUGGGUGAGUGGGGGCUGGGUUGGAGUGACGCAAUGGGCCUGGUGCAGACAGGAACAGGGUUUCUUUUAGAAGGGACAAAAAUGUCCUAAAAUUAGAUACAGAGGAUGUUUGCACAGUCCUGUGAAUAUAUUAGAAACCAUUGAAUUGUAUACUUUAAGUGGGAGAAUUCAAUGGAAUGUGCAUUAUAAGUCGAGGAAGCUGUUACACACACACAAUUCUUACACACAAAGAGCUCCGAAUCACUGCAUUCAAGAUAUUUCCAUGUCAUUCUUCUGAUAAUUAUCAAAAUAAUUAGAUCUGGGACUCUGGCAAUUUAGGUUUUUUCCCCCUUUUUUUACAAGUUCAGACAGCAAUUUCUGCUAUUGUUAGAAUAGAAAAGUAUUUCUAGUUUCCAAAACAGUCUUGCUCAAAGUCAUCCUGAGGUGUGAACAGUCUUCCUGAGGCAUGAAUUGUCAUCCCGAGGUAUAAACAGCCAUCGUGAGGUCUGAACAGCCAUCGUGAGGUGUGAACGGCCUUCCUGAGGUAUGAGUAGUCAUCCUGAGGUAUGAACAGUCAUCUUGAGAUGUUAACAGCCAUCCUGAGGUAUUAACAGCCAUCCUGAGAUGUGAACAGCCCUCCCUCCUGAGGUAUGAACAGCCCUCCUGAGGUAUAAACAGUUUUCCUGAGGUAUGAACAGUCAUCCUGAGAUGUGAACAGCCAUCCUGAGGUACGAACAGCCAUCUUGAGGUAUGAACAGCCCUUCCGAGGUAUGAACAGUCUUCCUGAGGUAUGAAGAGUCAUCCUGAGAUGUGAAUAGCCAUCCUGAGGUAUGAACAGCCCUCCUGAGGUGUAAACAGUCUUCCUGAGAUGCGAACAGCCAUCCUGAGGUGUGAACAGUCUUCCCGAUGUAUGAACAGUCAUCCUGAGGUGUGAAUAGUCAUCAUGAGGUGUGAACAGCCUUCCUGAGAAGGACACCCCACUGGUGGAUCCCUAGGGAAGAGUCUGCUGUCCUCAGCACCUACCCCUUUGCGGUCUCCCUACCAUUGGAGAGGACGUCCCCUAACCUGGGCGUCUCAAGCCAGUCGCCACAUCGUCAAAAUGGUCUCACAAGAAACGGGAGACGGCCAGCCGGAACUUCUGUCUCCAAAUCAGAGGAACCACCGACUUGGCUCCAUACUAAAUCCCCCAACCGGGAGCAUCCGCGAGCAUCCAUCAGAGUUUCAGGAGUGGGAAGCACAACUACAAUAAAAGAAGAAAACACGAGGGGCUCUGGAUGGCUGUCGGAUGCACCACGGGCCAGGCUAUAGUCCCCAGUUACUCAAGCCCGGACAGGUGCUCCUGGGGAGAGACCCCAAGGAGGUGAGGGCAGCCCCUGCUGGCUGAGGUGAGGACAGUUAUCUUCAAUGACGCGGGCGAGCCUGAGAAAGGCGGGGGAGAGAGGAAAUUCUGCCCGGGCCUUGGAGCCUUGUCCUUCGGUGGCAGACGCUGUACUUACUGUUCUUUGGGGACAGAUGGGCACCUGAUUCCUUCAACGGGCAGGUAAUAUUCCAGUGUGUGGAUAUACCACAUUGUAGUCGUGUAGUCUACAGGCGGUGGACGUUUGGGCGCUUCCGACUGGGGCUGCCGUGAAGAAGGCCACCAGCGUUUGCCUGGACGUGCGUUCAGUUCCCUCAGGCAUUUAUCUAGGAGCCGGAUGGAGUCUCGUGUUUGACCUCUUGAGUUUCCUUAAGGGAAGGGACUACGUCUCUUCCUUCGGUAUUCCCAGCACCUGGAAAAGCCCCACGUAAAAUAAACAUGGUGUUGAAGCAAAGGGAGGAUAAUCACGACCCAACGGCCUAUGAGGCAGGUGAAAUUUUCGUCACCCCCGUGGUUCAAGUGGGCAAAGU